GCUACAGUUUUACAUGUUAGAUGAAAAUGUUAGGAAUUUCCUAUUAGAAAUUCCUCAGAUAGAGAAUUAAAUAAUAAACAUUUUACAUUUCGAUGAAGCGCUUAUAUCUGGUUAGUAAUCAGGAGUAAAAAUCCCAGCUGUUUUCCUCAAGAGGAAACAGAUGGGUCUUUUACCCUACCUACCUACAUCGUGUGUGUCUGUCUGUGUGUGCGUGACUAUAUUCUGUGUAAGUAUAUUUCUAUGUUUAUAUAUUUGUAGCUGUUGAGCAGGCGUUAUCCUUUCACAUUAACACUACGCUUAUUACUUUAUUUCUUUUUUUUUUCUCUGUCAGUCUAAGUAUCUAUCUAUCUAUCUAUCUAUCUAUCUAUCUAUCUAUCUAUUUAUCUAUCUAUCUAUCUAUCUAUCUAUCUAUCUAUCUAUCUAUCUAUCUAUAUGUCUGUCUAUCUAUCUAUCUAUCUAUCUACCUGUCUGUAUUUAUUCAUUUAUAUAUGUGUAUAUUUCUCAGUCUAUGUAUUCAUAUCACUAUUUCUUUCUCUCACAGUUGAGCAUCAAACCUUCGGGAUUGGCACGCAAGAUCAAACUUCCGGUGGACAUUAUAAUCGGUACGAAACCAUUACAAGAUGUCUACCAUCCCACCUACUUCCAUCAUUCGUUCCCUUCUCCGACCGAGUCCUGUCGUCUGUUCAGUCCCUUCCUCUGCGAUACAGCGUCUGAUCAAGUGUUUCUCACGGAAUCAUCAUUUCACCAACACAUGCUACCCACAGCGCCACCUUGGGAAGAUGAUGACGACAUACCCUGAAGUCCCUAUUUCCGACCAUUCGCAUUUUUGGGGGAAAAAUUCCAUCUCUUACCGUCAACAUGGAAGAAGAAAAUUCGAGAGAACAGUUUCCGUGGCCGUCAGUCUGCUUAGCAACAUGUCUCUAUACGUAACUCGUACACACCUACACGCACAUACACUCCACUCUAUUCACACACACACACACACACACACACACACACACA
This is a long non-coding RNA of Octopus bimaculoides (California two-spot octopus), 1002 nucleotides long. The record is from RefSeq and is a predicted model, not a curated record. NCBI's taxonomy places the organism in Eukaryota, Metazoa, Mollusca, Cephalopoda, Octopoda, Octopodidae.